Molecule: long non-coding RNA, 564 nt
Filed under: Dendronephthya gigantea
Lineage: Eukaryota; Metazoa; Cnidaria; Anthozoa; Malacalcyonacea; Nephtheidae
Description: uncharacterized LOC114519259, transcript variant X1
Source: RNAcentral
AUAUUCCGAUUAUAAAUUAAAAGUCCAGCGAGAAAUGAAGUGUAAGGCGAUUUGAAAACCACGAGAUUGGUGGCGAUCGAAGGUGGACAGCAAGAUCGAAGCUCAGCAAGAUUGAAGAUUGUUCGAAGAAGAAGGAGUUCGCCGUUGACUAAAAGGUUUAUCUGAACAGCUAGUUGUCAAGAUGAAUGCGAAGACUCGCCCGGCCAAAUUCAAAAUGGCGAUGCCAAAGAAAACCAUCCACCUGGACCGUUCGCAGACCUUUCUGGGCAAGAUUGUUGUGCUGUCUGGUCAAAGUUAAGUAUUUUACUUUGAUGUUUGUGUGCCUUCGGCUAAUUGUUGGCCAGAAAUGACAAAAAGCCAUAUACAAUAUGAAAUAUUCUGCGUACAAGGUUAUCUAAAAUUUCGAACUUAAUUCUGCCUGCAAUGAUGAUAAUUUUUUACUGAAAAUUUAUGUCAUGAGCAACUUCCGCACCUAUAGACUGAAGCAGAACUGAACAUUUUGUCAUUAACGUUUAUCUCAACAGCCAGUUAUCAAGACGAACGUCAAGAGAACAGUUGAAAUAG